GAGUUUGAUCCUGGCUCAGAUUGAACGCUGGCGGCAUGCCUUACACAUGCAAGUCGAACGGCAGCACGGGAGCUUGCUCCUGGUGGCGAGUGGCGAACGGGUGAGUAAUGCAUCGGAACGUAUCCUGGAGCGGGGGAUAACGUAGCGAAAGUUACGCUAAUACCGCAUAUUCUGUGAGCAGGAAAGCGGGGGACCUUCGGGCCUCGCGCUCUUGGAGCGGCCGAUGUCGGAUUAGCUAGUUGGUGAGGUAAAGGCUCACCAAGGCGACGAUCCGUAGCAGGUCUGAGAGGAUGAUCUGCCACACUGGAACUGAGACACGGUCCAGACUCCUACGGGAGGCAGCAGUGGGGAAUUUUGGACAAUGGGGGCAACCCUGAUCCAGCCAUGCCGCGUGAGUGAAGAAGGCCUCGGUUGUAAGG
RNAcentral lists this ribosomal RNA (419 nucleotides) under bacterium enrichment culture clone ALO1_GLFRUDD03G6ULV. RNAcentral's name for it is "bacterial SSU rRNA". It matches the Rfam family "Bacterial small subunit ribosomal RNA", at positions 9 to 430 of the family's 1533-position model. The record is from RNAcentral.